AGGUGACAUUGACAGAGUUUUAAAAAGAAAUUUUAAAUUUAGAAAUAUGGUGAUGUUUCGUUUCGUGUCAUAAACCGGGCGAAAUUUUUCAUGUGAAUAAAAUUUCUGUAAAAACAAUAUGCAUGUUAAAUUACUGUGGAAUGUCGCUAGGAUAAUCUUGAUAUCGGGAUUAUCUUUUGGCGUCUGAUUAAUACAAAAUAAAUGUUAGAGAAGUUGCCGUGCCCUGUCUAGAAAUAGCUGGCCUUUACAUAUCUUAUCUAUGAUUUGCGGUCCAGUGUACGCUUUCAUAUCGGGCGUAGUGCUAUUUGCCUGUCUCAAAUAUUUGCAAGUUCGGACUGGGCACGACAAUAAAAUUUGCAAGUGCGGUGGUCAGCCACGAUAACCUACACAAGUGACUCGCUUAAGGUGCCAGAGUAACUGUCAAAGCUUCAAGAUGGUUUGUAUAAGUUGCGGUGCCUUAAUAACUAUACUGGGGUUGGUAGUCGUUGGACCAAUCAUAUGUGAAAGAAUCCUGUGUUGUUUAGGAAGUAGUAAGAAAAAAAUGAAAUGUUGAGUUUCAAGUUCUGUUUACCUAGCUUAUUUUGAUGUACCUAUAUUUCAAUUUCCAUGUAACUUAAUUCGAAUAUAAUUACAUAAUUAAACACUA
Long non-coding RNA from Trichoplusia ni (cabbage looper), 646 nucleotides. RefSeq lists it as uncharacterized. The record is from RefSeq and is a predicted model, not a curated record. NCBI's taxonomy places the organism in Eukaryota, Metazoa, Arthropoda, Insecta, Lepidoptera, Noctuidae. The transcript has 2 exons.